GCGGCCUAUCAGCUUGUUGGUGAGGUAAUGGCUCACCAAGGCGAUGACGGGUAGCUGGUCUCAGCGGAUGAUCAGCCACACGGGGACUGAGACACGGCCCCGACUCCUACGGGAGGCAGCAGUGGGGAAUUUUGGACAAUGGGCGAAAGCCUGAUCCAGCGACGCCGCGUGCGGGAGGAAGCCCUUCGGGGUGUAAACCGCUGUCAGGAGGGAAGAAAACGCUCGGACUAAUACUUCGAGUGCUUGACGGUACCUUCAGAGGAAGCGCCGGCUAACUCCGUGCCAGCAGCCGCGGUAAUACGGAGGGCGCAAGCGUUGUCCGGAAUUACUGGGCGUAAAGGGGGCGCAGGCGGCUCGCUAAGUCCUGUGUGAAAUCCCGCGGCUCAACCGUGGAAUGCCGCAGGAAACUGGCGAGCUAGAGACGGGUAGAGGCGAGUGGAAUUCCCGGUGUAGCGGUGGAAUGCGUAGAUAUCGGGAAGAACACCAGUGGCGAAGGCGACUCGCUGGGCCCGUUCUGACGCUCAGGCCCGAAAGCGUGGGGAGCAAACAGGAUUAGAUACCCUGGUAGUCCACGCCGUAAACGUUGGGCACUAGGUGCUGGGAGGUGUGACCCUUUCGGUGCCGCAGCUAACGCGUUAAGUGCCCCGCCUGGGGAGUACGG
This 661-nucleotide ribosomal RNA is filed under the name uncultured Bacillus sp. RNAcentral describes it as "bacterial SSU rRNA". It matches the Rfam family "Bacterial small subunit ribosomal RNA", at positions 233 to 885 of the family's 1533-position model. Lineage: Bacteria; Bacillati; Bacillota; Bacilli; Caryophanales; Bacillaceae. The record is from RNAcentral.